GCCCCUCCAGGCCCUCCCCGCCGUCUGCAAAGCUCUUCAGCUGGGAGAGGAGGAAAGGAUAAGAAGAUAAGUGGGAAGGGGAAGAAAGAAUAAUUGCUCUCCUUGGAAGGUCUGGAUCUUAGGCAGAUAAAGAAACUUCAGCUUCUUUGGGAAAGACGCCCACUCAACAUGAAGAUGACAAGGAUGAAGACCUUUAUGAUGAUCCAUUCCCACUUACUGAAUAUGGUCCUUUGGGAUCAGAGAGCACAGCUGCCACCACCAAGGAGCUGCAAUCACCACCACCAAGAAGCUGUAGCAACAGAGACCAGCGCAACGGUACUGUGAGGACCCAAGAAAACCCAGCUGUGAGCCAGGAGCUUUCCUCCCUGAAGCUUUCAACACCACGGGAAUUGAUUCAUGGCCCUGUCAUUUCAUCUCAUUCCUCGUGGACUCUCAGCAUCUUUAGAAUGACCUGAACAUUGUGGAGGGAGUCCAGAAUCCCUACCCCUGGGCUCUGAGGCAAUGCCUUGGGUUUUUGCAUUGUCUCUUUUCUAGUAAUGGCAGCAACAACAACAACAGCGAAAACCCCAGCUCAACCCACUCUGACCCUAGCGCUCUCUUCCUGGUGUCUUCACUUGCACAGCUUAAAAACUAUAAAUAACAAGGCCCUUUUCCAAAUGUCUUUUGGUAAACUAUGCCUGACCCUGAAAACAAGGCCACCAUCUUCCAGGUGGGAGUGGCCUGUGAGAUUAUAACCUCAGUCCUCUUUCCUAAUAACUGGCUGCUGUGAUCUA
This is a long non-coding RNA of Homo sapiens (human), 773 nucleotides long. Ensembl annotates it as ETS2 antisense RNA 1. Its record names the gene ETS2-AS1. The record is from Ensembl. NCBI's taxonomy places the organism in Eukaryota, Metazoa, Chordata, Mammalia, Primates, Hominidae.